This 1209-nucleotide ribosomal RNA is filed under the name metagenome. Its description in RNAcentral is "bacterial SSU rRNA". It matches the Rfam family "Bacterial small subunit ribosomal RNA", at positions 284 to 1520 of the family's 1533-position model. The record is from RNAcentral.
UAGCUGGUCUGAGAGGAUGAUCAGCCACACUGGAACUGAGACACGGUCCAGACUCCUACGGGAGGCAGCAGUGGGGAAUAUUGCACAAUGGAGGAAACUCUGAUGCAGCAACGCCGCGUGGAGGAUGACGCAUUUCGGUGUGUAAACUCCUUUUAUAUGGGAAGAUAAUGACGGUACCAUAUGAAUAAGCACCGGCUAACUCCGUGCCAGCAGCCGCGGUAAUACGGAGGGUGCAAGCGUUACUCGGAAUCACUGGGCGUAAAGCGCGCGCAGGCGGCCUUUUAAGUUGGAUGUGAAAGCCUACGGCUCAACCGUAGAACUGCAUCCAAAACUAUCAGGCUAGAGUGUGGGAGAGGAAGAUGGAAUUAGUUGUGUAGGGGUAAAAUCCGUAGAGAUAACUAGGAAUACCAAAAGCGAAGGCAAUCUUCUGGAACAUUACUGACGCUGAGGCGCGAAAGCGUGGGGAGCAAACAGGAUUAGAUACCCUGGUAGUCCACGCCCUAAACGAUGAAUGUUAGUCGUCGGGUAGCUAGUCUAUUCGGUGAUGCAGCUAACGCAUUAAACAUUCCGCCUGGGGAGUACGGUCGCAAGAUUAAAACUCAAAGGAAUAGACGGGGACCCGCACAAGUGGUGGAGCAUGUGGUUUAAUUCGAUACGCGAAGAACCUUACCUAGCCUUGACAUAUAUUAGAACACCCUAGAGAUAGAGUGGUGCCUUCGGGAGCUUUUAUACAGGUGCUGCACGGCUGUCGUCAGCUCGUGUCGUGAGAUGUUGGGUUAAGUCCCGCAACGAGCGCAACCCUCGUCACUAGUUACUAACGGUUCGGCCGAGGACUCUAGUGAGACUGCCUUCGUAAGGAGGAGGAAGGUGAGGACGACGUCAAGUCAUCAUGGCCCUUACGGCUAGGGCAACACACGUGCUACAAUGGCCAGGACAGUGAGACGCGAUACCGCGAGGUGGAGCAAAUCUAUAAACCUGGUCUCAGUUCGGAUUGUAGUCUGCAACUCGACUACAUGAAGCUGGAAUCACUAGUAAUCGUAGAUCAGCUAUGCUACGGUGAAUACGUUCCCGGGUCUUGUACUCACCGCCCGUCACACCAUGGGAGUUGAUUUCACCCGAAGCGGGGAAGCUAAACUGGCUACCCUCCACGGUGGAAUCAGCGACUGGGGUGAAGUCGUAACAAGGUAACCGUAGGAGAACCUGCGGUUG